Molecule: ribosomal RNA, 252 nt
Filed under: uncultured bacterium
Lineage: Bacteria
Description: partial 16S ribosomal RNA
Rfam family: Bacterial small subunit ribosomal RNA
Source: RNAcentral
UACAGAGGGGGGCAAGCGUUAUUCGGAAUUAUUGGGCGUAAAGGGCGCGUAGGCGGCUUGGCAAGUGGAUGGUGAAAUCCCCUCGGCUUAACCGAGGAACUGCCCGUCCCAAAACUGCUUCGCUUGAGACCGGGAGAGGUGAGUGGGAAAUUCCCCAGUGUAGCGGUGAAAUGCGUAGAUAUUGGGAGGAACACCAGUGGCGAAGGGCGGCCCCCUGGGUCCGGCCCUGACGCUGAGGCGCGAAAGCGUGGG